Molecule: non-coding RNA, 54 nt
Organism: Xenorhabdus poinarii G6
Lineage: Bacteria; Pseudomonadati; Pseudomonadota; Gammaproteobacteria; Enterobacterales; Morganellaceae
Source: Rfam
CGUGUGGUGUCUGGCGAUAACAAGGCUGGAUAGCGACACGGCCUGAACAGAGGU